This 385-nucleotide ribosomal RNA is filed under the name uncultured bacterium. Its description in RNAcentral is "bacterial SSU rRNA". It matches the Rfam family "Bacterial small subunit ribosomal RNA", at positions 29 to 417 of the family's 1533-position model. The record is from RNAcentral.
AUUGAGCGCUGGCGGCAUGCCUUACACAUGCAAGUCGAGCGCGAAAGGGGGCAACCCCGAGUAGAGCGGCGGACGGGUGAGUAACGCAUCGGAACGUGCCCAGUAGUGGGGGACAACCUCGAGAAAUCGAGGCUAAUACCGCAUACGACCCACGGGUGAAAGCGGGGGACCGCAAGGCCUCGCGCUAUUGGAGCGGCCGAUGUCCGAUUAGCUAGUUGGCGGGGUAAGAGCCCACCAAGGCGACGAUCGGUAGCUGGUCUGAGAGGACGACCAGCCACACUGGGACUGAGACACGGGCCCAGACUCCUACGGGAGGCAGCAGUGGGGAAUUUUGGACAAUGGGGGCAACCCUGAUCCAGCCAUGCCGCGUGCGGGAAGAAGGCCU